Myotis davidii is the source of this 75-nucleotide non-coding RNA. Lineage: Eukaryota; Metazoa; Chordata; Mammalia; Chiroptera; Vespertilionidae. The record is from Rfam.
GGUGGUUCUUGGAUGCCACACCCUGGAAUCGGGUUCCCUCCUCUCUGGUUCUGGGUGCAUCACCCAAGAACCACA